UAUCAAGGCUGACAAUGGCCGGCGGAGCAGCUGUCCUGGAAAAUCAGAAUGUCUCAAGUACCUGCACAUCUGAAUGACUGCUAAAGCAGGUCCUUUUCGCAACAAAUGUUUCGCCGGGAGGUAAGGUGGAUUGCCAGCCUCUGCCCAGAAGAUCAAAACGUCAAUAUACGAUUUUUUUAAAUCACGCUACAAUACAACCAAACACUCAGCGGCUCGAGUACACACUUAAAGGAGUUCGAGUUACAAACACUUUGUGACCCUGUCCCUGCCACACUGAGGACCAAGUAGCCAACUGCGCCUGGAUCUGCCUGCUUUCAACCACACCUCACGUACAGCUAGCACUGAGUAAAAGGCCUUAAAAGGUCAUGGCCAUGAUCAAGAGCACCUGGACACAGGCUCUGCGCAAGCGCCAAGUUUCAUACUUCUGACGUACAAGACCCGACGAGAUAGGAAGAAGAAACACGCCAGCUAGUUGCACAGCGCUCCGCAGCAGUCCAGAAAGCAGUCUCCAUUCGCAACAAGUGUGCGUCGUUGAUUAAUGUAAGAUUGUUUCUUACUUCUCGUACACUAAUUCGUAUUGUUAAUGUUGGGUUUUCUCAUUAAUCGACGCACUUUUCCUUUAUUUAGCAAUGUUAUAUUCGCGUUGUUUAUGUGUAUGUAAAUACUGAUCGUGUGCCUGUAAUUAUACGCGAAUAUUCGUAUAUCCUAUAGUUUAUGUUA
Molecule: long non-coding RNA, 720 nt
Organism: Megalops cyprinoides (Indo-Pacific tarpon)
Lineage: Eukaryota; Metazoa; Chordata; Actinopteri; Elopiformes; Megalopidae
Exons: 3
Source: RefSeq, a predicted model, not a curated record